Molecule: ribosomal RNA, 583 nt
Filed under: uncultured Alphaproteobacteria bacterium
Lineage: Bacteria; Pseudomonadati; Pseudomonadota; Alphaproteobacteria
Description: bacterial SSU rRNA
Rfam family: Bacterial small subunit ribosomal RNA
Source: RNAcentral
UGCCUCAUACAUGCAAGUCGAACGAAAUCUUCGGAUUUAGUGGCGCACGGGUGAGUAACAUGUGGGAAUUUACCUGAAGGUUCGGAAUAACUGCGGGAAACUGUAGCUAAUACCGGAUGUGUCUGCAAAGAGAAAGAUUUAUCGCCUUCAGAUAAGCCCGCACUAGAUUAGCUAGUUGGUGAGGUAACUGCUCCACCAAGGCUACGAUCUAUAGCUGAUUUGAGAGGAUGAUCAGCCACACUGGGACUGAGACACGGCCCAGACUCCUACGGGAGGCAGCAGUAGGGAAUAUUGGACAAUGGGGGAAACCCUGAUCCAGCAAUGCCGCGUGAGUGAAGAAGGCCUUCGGGUUGUAAAACUCUUUCAUCAAUGAUGAUAAUGACAUUAGUUGAAGAAGAAGCUCCGGCUAACUUCGUGCCAGCAGCCGCGGUAAUACGAAGGGGGCUAGCGUUGUUCGGAAUCACUGGGCGUAAAGCGUAUGUAGGCGGAUCAAAAAGUUAGAUGUGAAAUCCCUGGGCUCAACCCAGGAACUGCAUUUAAAACUAGUGAUCUAGAAUUUGGUAAAGGUUAGUAGAAUUUCCAG